RNAcentral lists this small RNA (90 nucleotides) under Aristaeella lactis. Its description in RNAcentral is "Gut-1 RNA". It matches the Rfam family "Gut-1 RNA". The record is from RNAcentral. Lineage: Bacteria; Bacillati; Bacillota; Clostridia; Eubacteriales; Aristaeellaceae.
AUGUGAAAUAUUGAACCGCAAGCGGUUCAAUGUGAAAUAUUUGCCUGCGGCAAAUGUGAAAUGUGGCCUACCGGCCACGUGAUAUAUACU